GUCAUCCUCCAUCAUUCUGGGGAGACUCGCCACCAUCUUAAGGACCAACCCCAAACGGGCUCAGCUGGGCUCAGAAGUGCUUCACCUCUGAAACUUUGCACUCUGGCCUAGGUGUUAUCAAAUGUCCCUGCCUGUUCCUCUUGUCCUCCAGCCUGAGACCCUCAUCCAUCUCAUCCCACCUGGCCCCUGCCCGCGGUCCUGCUGCUGGCUGGCCUGCUCCUGCAGCUCUAACCAGCCUAGCCCAGCGCUGCCUGUAUCUGAGUGAGCUGACUGAAAGCAUUCCAAGUGCAUGCUUGCUGGGAUUCCUGAGCAUAUUAAUCUGUGUGCAAUAAACUCCCAUUUCUUGACAGGAA
Non-coding RNA from Vicugna pacos (alpaca), 353 nucleotides. The record is from RefSeq and is a predicted model, not a curated record. NCBI's taxonomy places the organism in Eukaryota, Metazoa, Chordata, Mammalia, Artiodactyla, Camelidae.